Molecule: non-coding RNA, 98 nt
Filed under: Nonomuraea sp.
Lineage: Bacteria; Bacillati; Actinomycetota; Actinomycetes; Streptosporangiales; Streptosporangiaceae
Also listed under: 1 other name
Description: Glycine sequence
Rfam family: Glycine riboswitch aptamer
About the family: This family represents the bacterial glycine riboswitch. Glycine riboswitches usually consist of two metabolite-binding aptamers domains with similar structures in tandem.
Source: RNAcentral
CGAAACCGCGCGGGAGAGUGCCCUGACAGCCGGUCAGGGUCCCUGAAGGAGCAAGCCCUCCCCGCGAACCUCUCAAGGCAAAGGACCGCGCGGACGAG